This is a long non-coding RNA of Papaver somniferum (opium poppy), 1977 nucleotides long. RefSeq lists it as uncharacterized. The record is from RefSeq and is a predicted model, not a curated record. The transcript has 3 exons. Lineage: Eukaryota; Viridiplantae; Streptophyta; Magnoliopsida; Ranunculales; Papaveraceae.
UACCCGCGGACGGUUUAGCAAUGGAUGAAGAAGAUUAAGUGGUACUUUCUCUGAUUCUUCCGCGAGAUGGAGACGUCUACAUAAUUUUGGGGGUUUCUCUUUAAAUCUUCUUUGGAUGUUAAUUAGGUUUUUUCUCUGAUUAAGUGGUACCUUCUCUUUGGUUUGUAGGGAUUCGUCGAUUGAAGGAAAGCUUGGGUUUUUGAUACAGCGGGUUGCAAACAAAUUCAGUUUAGGGUGUAGAUUUUUUUUUUUUUAGAUUAUUUUUUUUUCUAUCAGUAUGAUCAAUUUGUUUUGCUUAUUUUAUGUUUUAGUAUUAUCUUCGUGUUUUGAUUUCUUUUACUGUUUUUCGUGUUUUGAUUUGUUUUACUGUUUUUUUUUUCUUUUAAGAUUUGAAGAAGGGGUUUUGUGUUUGUGUUGUAGGGAUUCGUCGAUUGAAGGAAAGCUUGGAUUUUUGAUACAGUGGAUUGCAAACAGAUUCAAUUUAGGGUUUACAUCCAUUGAAGUAAAGCAUAAUCACAGAGAUGAUGAGGAGGAAUAGAAGAAAAAGAUUCUGCAAGGCAUGGGAAGAAAGUGAAAUGACAAAAGCAUAGAACAAGCGUAUGGGACUGUAAUUUUACCCUGUUAUUCGUCUAAUCACAUAGCUUUCCAUAUUAUUACUGAAGGGCGUUGGAAAAGAUGUCCUCCCAAGAAAGCUACUAUUGAAAUGGAGUUCAAUGAAAAUAGCUGAGAGAAAAAAAAAUUAUGAAACAAAUGUACGAAUUGUCUCCCCCUAGCAAAGUUUUCUUUCAUAUUACAUCACUAUACUACCAAUGUUAUUACUGCUUCAAAAGGGUGUGAGUUAUUCCUGUCUUUAAAACUUGCAAUUUUCAGCAAUUGUCAUUUGUAUAUCUGGGCCAGCUAAAAGACACUAUACUACCAAUGUUGUCAUUUCCAGGUGUUGUCAGUGUUAAUUCAUACCUUCCCACAUAUCGGUUAGUUUUCAGCUUUAUUUUUUUGGUUAAAUAUCUUGGAUUCAUGAUUCUAGGGUUAUAUAAAUUAUUGAAGUUCAAAAUAUCAAUAUGAUGCAAGAAUUAUAGGUCAAGAUACCUAUCUGAUGCAAGAAAUAAUGCAUCUUCUCCUCUUUCUGAGGUUCUUAAUUGAACAUUGAAUGCUGGCCGGUGAUAGAAUACCAGCAACUUUAGCUUCCAAUGUUUUGAAUUUUUUGAAUUGCCUGUAAUUUCAAACAACUAUGCCAAUGACUUAUUUUAUGAGCCUAUACAGGUGGAAUUGUUGCUUAGUGAAAGGAUUAUUGUGAAUGGUAUUUAACUCUUAACUUCACCUCAUUGAUUUUUCUCAAAUCUUAAAAAUAGUUAUUUCACGGUAGAGUUCAGUUGAUAGCUUAAAUGACAAGGUUUACAGUUUUGAAGUAUAUAAUUGCAGUCAUAACUUAGCUUGGCCGUUAAAGGGUUAGAUGGAUUAGGAUAGCUAAUCGAGUACAAUAUUUACUGAAUGACGAUGGUCUGCAAAAGCUAAUUACAGGUGCGAUCUUGCUGGAUGAAGGAACUUGGCUGCUCGGUCUUCAUCUAGCUCCCAAAAUUUUGAGAGUGGAUACUCUAAAUCACGAGGAGAACUGGUCUAGCUUAUGGCGAAGUAUUCUGUAUCAACAUGUCAGUUUCCAUCUCUUUUCUCAAUUUGCUACAUGCUGAUUAUUUGUAUUUUAGGUUUGUGGACCGGUCAAUUUUGAUAUGGUAAUGGUGCAUACGGUCAUGUACUUCAGGUUUGUCUAAGCAUAGUCAAAUUUGAUGUCCGAUCUCUUCCAUGAGGUGUCUAAUAAAAGAGAUGCGGAAAAUAAUUAAUGGAAAAAUGUUUGUUUUAUGUGUCUUAAUUUAUCCAUUGAGUAAUUUCUCCCGUGAUGUAAUCAGAAAAAAAGUACAAUUGUAUGAUUAUGUAGAUUGACACUUCAAUUAUAAUAAUGCGUAUUUGAUAUACUUUUCUUUA